CAUAUGGCCUAUCGUGGGACUUCACCUUGUGAUCAUCCAAUGAAGAAACCUUGGAAAAGGAAAUGAGAAGGACAACAUUGUUCUAUCAGCCAAUCUGUUCACCUUACAAUUGAUGUUAAGCAGAAUCUGAUAUGCAAAGAGGAAGCUCAGCAUCUUGUACUGCAUCCAGGAAGUCAAGGACCCCAAACGGAGGGACCGGCUGAAGCCAU
RNAcentral lists this long non-coding RNA (209 nucleotides) under Homo sapiens (human). RNAcentral's name for it is "HSALNT0359841". Lineage: Eukaryota; Metazoa; Chordata; Mammalia; Primates; Hominidae. The record is from RNAcentral.